UUGAUCUCUCCUUCCCUCUUGUCUUCGAUUUUGAUCUUUCUUCCCUAAUUGAGCGAUUUUGAUCAGAUGAUGGAAAACAACGAAAACCCUAGCUCAAGUUGUCAUCAAAUCAAAGGCCAACGCACUUCACAGAAACAAUACAAAAAAUUUCAAGCGCGAUAAAGGUAUCAGAAAACUAGCUAGGGUUUAGAAGAAGGAAACUUACCUCAACGGGCAAGGAAGACCAGAUACACAGAGUUCCGCCGUGCCGAGGGUUCCGCCGUGCCGUGCCGAGGCGAGCGAGCGAGCGAGCGCAAGGGUUCCGCCGUGCGCAAAGGAAGACCGGAUACCAAAGGCGCAAUCUCGCGAGCGCAAGGGUUCCGCCGUGCCGAGGCUUCCAGAGACACAGAGUUCUCACUCGGUCAGCACGAUCUUUUAUAUCAUAGGAAUUGAGCCGUGAGGUCGGCAUCUGAUGGUUGGAGUACUGAUCUGAGCCACACAAUUAAUCGAGCCGUGCUUGGGUUUGAGCUCGGCGAUUGUGAACUGAAUGUGAAUUUGUGAAAAGGUUCGGGUUCGGUGAGGCUCCUCGGCUUGGUUCAACCGGAUCGAUUACUUGGUUGAUUCGGAUG
RNAcentral lists this long non-coding RNA (608 nucleotides) under Musa acuminata (dwarf banana). Its description in RNAcentral is "long non-coding RNA (MACU_LNC006319)". Lineage: Eukaryota; Viridiplantae; Streptophyta; Magnoliopsida; Zingiberales; Musaceae. The record is from RNAcentral.